Molecule: long non-coding RNA, 659 nt
Organism: Danio aesculapii
Lineage: Eukaryota; Metazoa; Chordata; Actinopteri; Cypriniformes; Danionidae
Exons: 2
Source: RefSeq, a predicted model, not a curated record
GGUUGGGAUAGCGCAAGUGAGCUGAACUUCUCCGCUGGUGUUACUGUACUAUCCUCAAUUUAAUACUUUAUUUGAGCAAUUAUUUUCUUUGAUGAAACUAGCACGUGUUUCGCGUGGUUUGUAAGGGCAUAUUUAAGAAAUAUUGAAUUUGGUCUUCCAAUAAUUAAAGGGCUGAUUGAGAAGUUUAGCGAUAUUCUGGUUUUCCACGGUUUCCUGUGCCAUCAAAACUUGUGAUUUCUGAAAGCAGGUAAGCCACUGACUAACGCACAUUGCGCCUAUUCUCCACUCCACUGUGCGUGUGACAGCGGCUAACCAGCUUUUGGAUUUGCACCUGACAUCAGCGCCGUGGUAAUGUCCCACUGGAGACUAUCUAAAGGAUCAAGGCGGACACAGUCACCGGAGCGACGCUUUAGGAUCCACUGUCCCUCUACAUGACUUUUUGGUCUUGGUAAAGCACUUGAAACACUAACUUAGGGUUGUGCGUUUAAUCCCCGCGGUGCGCAUGUUCUGAAUAAAUGAGUGCCUUGUGUGAUCGGUGUACAUGUACAUUUUUAUGACAUCAGCCUGCUUACAGUGUCACCGCCGUGCUAGAAAUACGGUGUAAAUAUGAUCAUGUGCAGUCUGGUUGGCAAAGGAUUAAACUUGUGCCUGUUGACUAA